Molecule: long non-coding RNA, 298 nt
Filed under: Homo sapiens (human)
Lineage: Eukaryota; Metazoa; Chordata; Mammalia; Primates; Hominidae
Description: HSALNT0307307
Source: RNAcentral
UUUUUCUGCACACACCAAGCAAGAAAUCAGUUCCGCAGCAGACACCAGCUGGAAGUCCUCCGAUUCAAUUCGGCUACCAUCUACCUGGAGAUAGCGUCAGAUCCCACAGGGCUCAGUUCCAUAAAGCUGCCUUCUCUUCAGACACCAGCGGCUAAGAAGAUUGAAAUCCCGAGAAACAAUUUUCUGAAGAAAUGAAAUCAUAUGCCCUCCUGAACUCUUUGGGGGAAAAUAGCCUCUCUGUUUGCUCAGAAUAUGAAACAGUAAAACAGUACAAGUAAAACAGUCAGCCUUGCCAUGC